This 2839-nucleotide long non-coding RNA is filed under the name Mus musculus (house mouse). Its description in RNAcentral is "long non-coding RNA chr12:38846650-38849489". Lineage: Eukaryota; Metazoa; Chordata; Mammalia; Rodentia; Muridae. The record is from RNAcentral.
AGAGUUAAAGGGUAGCGUGAGUGUUUCUGUAUUUGUAUUGUAUUUAUCAUUAUGAAGCUUGUGUUAUUUAUGCCCUGGACAUCCUUUGUUUUUUUUUUCAACCUAAUAUGUGAUAUGAAUAGAAAUUUGGAAGAAAGAAGCCCAAACCAGGGAAGUAUCAGUUAAAGAACUGAAGGAGAUGAAAACAUUGAAGAAUAAGGUUUUAAUUGGUAUCAUAAGUUGUUAAUAUAGCUCAUGUCAUGAUAUUUUUCUCUUUAGUGCUUGGACUUGAACCAAAUACUUCCUGCAUGCCAGGCAAGCACUCUACUAUGUAUCUAUAUGUAUCUAUCAUAUAGAUCCUCAGCUACCUCAGGACUUAAUACAGAUAUUUUCAGAAAUUUGUUGAUUAAUAAUACUAACAAAGAAUGGUUAAAUCUUCCAGGUUUGCAUUGAUGAGGACAGACACACACACACACACAUACACACACACACACACACACACACACACACACACUCACACACAAACACAUCUUACAAAGUAUAUAAUACUUCAAAUGCACAGAAUACAUCAUUUUGGCCCUGUAUAUUUAUCAUUUUAAAAUUUCUCCCACUAUGCAUGUGACCCCAGGACUAGGCAGGGUCAGUUAAGAGGACAGAAUGUGACCCUAUUUUAAAAGUGAAUGAACCAAUAGUUCCAUGCCACCUUCACUUAGUCAUUUCACCCCUACAAGGAGUUAAAAUGUACAGUCAGGCAAUUUUUGCAUCCUAAUUUAAAUGAAAGCAAAGGCACACUCUUGCGCUACUCCUCCUUUAGUGGGAUAUGUCUUUUACCUUAAGACAUUGGAAAGCUUAAUUACGUUGUGCAUUGACUAUUACUGCAGGAGUCUAAGCAGGAGCAUCAAAUGAAGGAAACUGCUUUUCCUACCCCCUUGUUCAGUUUGCCUUAUGAACUAAUCCUGCUUUUACUCACUAUUUGAAAGCAAAGCAGUUUCAGCCACCACUAAAACUGCCCUAGAUGAGCAUGACAAAUCUUUCCUGUCUGAGCCUGGUGUACCUUUUGGAGGCUUAGACAAAUGAUAGCCAAAGGGGAAUUUUCAUUUUGUACAACUGAGCAUCAACUAUGCAAAUCAAAGGAGUGCCUGGCAUAUGACAUGUGCAAAUUCAGAGCUGUACUUCGUGGUCAAACCUUUGCUAAAGCUGCCCAGAUCCAAACUGUAUUUUCCAGUUCAGCUUUUACAUUGUUAGACAAAGAGGGAGAAGCAGCUCUUUUCAAAGUUUCUCGCACAUGUAUCUUGAGAUGGUAUCACUUCAGGUAUGAUACCUUUAGUAGUGAUUCUUCAUGAAGCCUAACCCAACAGUGCAGUUCGGAGAGUUAGCAUUCUUUGUUCUUGACUCCACCCAUACGUCAUCCAAGCCUGGAGUUGCCAGCACCACUGUGCUGCUUUGAAUUUUUACAGCAUAUUAGGUCAGCUUUCAUCACCACAAGAGCUCAUCUGUAACAAAUUACAGACGUUGUGAUUUCUGUGAGCUGAUUUGGUCAACACUAAUAUCGUGUUUUAGAAUGCUUUGAUCCACAAGUUUCUUACAGCACUAAAAAUCCUUUGUCCUAAAUUCAAUUUAUAUAAUCCAAUUUAUAGACUGAUUUUUAAACUUUAUAGACCAGUGUUAUUUAAGAACAAACGACAAGGGUUAAUAUUGGGGAAAAAAUGAAUUUCAAAGAGAGAUCCUUGAGUAUUUAAAAUGUCUGAUGGAAACUCUAGCUUAAUCACAAAUUUGUGAUGACUGUUCAAUCGAUGUAUUUUUAGAUACCAUAGAUUAAGAGAUAAAUUUACAGAGACUAUUCCAGAGUAACUUCACUAGUAACCAGCAAAUCAACUAGUGAAUCAUGAGACUUAAGAACAGGGAAUUAAGAUAUUAAAAUAUGUAUUUAUAUCCUAAAUUCUUACUGUCUGUGUAUGCUUAGAUGAAGUAUCACUUCAUAUCAAGAUACAUGUACAGUACAGGAAACUAAAAAGAGCUGCUUUCUCCCUUUGCCUAACAAUACAAAGCUCUGCUGGAAAACACAGUACUGACCUGGGCAGCUUUACCAAAGGGGCAAUAUUACAUACAACUUACUCCAUAUGCUCCUCUUAAAAACCCUUUGAAAAGUCUCAGUAGCACUCCCAUUUUACAGAGGAGAAGGUUGAAGAAAGAGCUGUUAACCAACCUACACAAAGCUACACUCCCACAAAAUGAGAGACCUCAUACUUGAAUGUGCACCUAGUAGGUGACAUUGUGGUCAUUGGCAAUCACUGGGUUGCGCUGGUCAUCCUAUAAUUAUAACCAGAGGUUACCAGAGAAGAUGAUAUUAAUGUCUCGCCAUCCUAGCAUGUUUCCAGAGGAGAUUCUACAGUUGACUGUUACUCUUGCAUUGUACUUUCUUCCACAAGUAAAGUGGAAGGCUCUGCACAGCGACACUUGCAUCCCUGUCACCCAUUGUCUACCUUUGAAGUCACCACUUAGCCAGUUUGGUUCUUAGUGGAACGUUUAGCAAAAGUUCAAAUGUAAUGCCAAAUCGCACCAGUUGUACUUUUUUUUUUUUAUUAUUAGAUAAGGUAGAAAUGAAAGCAGCAGGCAAUUUAAUUAGCAGUAAUUUUUCUGGGCGAGUCAUUACUUUGAUGAACUUCAGAGCAAUGUUUACGGCCCCUAAUUAACCAUGUUAGUCAUUUGAUUGAAUAAUCACUUUGGAAAUGUUUCUACAAUUUGAUUAGAGUCUGACCCACUCUGAUAGUCAUAAAUUAACUGUUAUCACUUUAGAAUAACAUGACUUUAGUUAUUCUAUGUGAAUAAACCUCCUAGCCCUGUCCUUUAUUUAAAAAGG